Molecule: long non-coding RNA, 886 nt
Organism: Stylophora pistillata
Lineage: Eukaryota; Metazoa; Cnidaria; Anthozoa; Scleractinia; Pocilloporidae
Source: RefSeq, a predicted model, not a curated record
CCGACGCCACGCAUUUGUACAGAGAAGUUUAUCCCGACAAUCGCACGUAUAAAGGACCCUGUUCUUUACCAAGUGAGCACAACACAAACCGACUAUUCUCAUUUAGUGCUCGAUUGAAAUCUCCUUUUGAUUUGGAAAAAUGAAGAGUAAAUGUUUUUGGAUGCUUUUAGCAUUAGUUUUAUUAUCUUUUGUAAGCUUGGGGAGCGCAUUCACACCCGCUGCAGGAUGUAGGAUAAAAGCGGGGUGCAAUUCUCAGGCUGCACGAGAAUACAGCGAUCAGAAGGAUUUUAUAAGAGCAUAUUGUGACAAAGCCCGUCCAUGUAAGGGAGCAAACGGAAAACGUAGUCUUCUACGGCAGGAAGCCGUACUGGAGAGGGACGAGGAACAUUUUUGAAUUGGAAGCAAAGAUGACUAUCACCAUAGCGAGAGGAAUUUUACAAAAUUGUUUAGACGACUACAUAAUUUCCUUAGCGCAUAAAAAAAGAUUGUUUGAAUAUUUAUGUCUGUUAUUAUAAACUUUAGAUGAUAAAUUGUGAAAAUUCGGAAUUAUUAUGGGACUUCAUUGACAUAGUAUCGCAUAGAAUACCGAUUCCAUUUACGGAAAUAAGUUUAUUAGAGCCUUAAAUGGAUUGCACAUGUUUAGAUUUAUUUUUCCUUUUAGGACAAGAGCUCGCUUGCCACCUUAACCACUUUCCAAGGUGAUUAUCACAAUAGCUAGAGGAACAUCAAAUUUAUCUAUUCUAACGACUGUAUAUUUUUCUAAGCUUGUGUAUCAGUUUAAAUGACGAUACUAUAUGAAUAUUUAUGUCCUAAAUCAUAAACCCGAGAUUCUGAGUUGUGUAGACUUCAUCAACAUAGUAUCUAAUAAACAUUCAGUUUAAUUUUA